This 250-nucleotide unclassified non-coding RNA is filed under the name plant metagenome. RNAcentral's name for it is "partial contains small subunit ribosomal RNA, internal transcribed spacer 1, and 5.8S ribosomal RNA". The record is from RNAcentral.
GUAGGUGAACCUGCGGAAGGAUCAUUCACAAUUGAAAAUGCGGCAUAAUUUGCCCAUUUACAUCCAACUUUAAAGUGCAUGGACCUUUGGGUUCUUGUGCUUUAAACCUUGUGUGCAUUGUAUUUAUUUUCUUCUUUUAUUCUUUUUUUUUCAAAUGGGGUGUGAAAGGUUUCGGCCUUUUUCAGUUUGUUUGAAAAAAGAGGUAAGGGAAAGAAUAUAUAUUAAACUUACAAGAUAUCAUAUUGACAGU